UGUGUCAAAGCUCACUUGUUUAUUUCUUUAUUUACUUGUUUUUAUGGUGCGGCAGUAUCUGUGAAAGAAAAGCAGGCUCUGCUGUCUUCUGGAGGAGCCGUUCUGUAUGUGAACCAGGAACCUCCCUGCUACAGCACUGAAGACCAGGAAGAAGACCAGGGGUCGAGGGUCACUGUUGCUGGAACUGGUAGCUUUGAGGAAAAAAAGAUCAUAAGAUGAUGCCUGAUUACUUCAGCAGUCUUUAAAAUGGAAAUGACAAGCAACAUGUGACUCACUGAGAUGUGAAAGUGCAUAAGAGUGCAUGUGGUUAGGGAAGAGGGCUUGUAACUGAAAGGUUGCAGGUUUCAUUCCUACAGCAGGUGUAUCCCUGAGUAAGCAGUAUGGCUUUCAGGUUAAAAUAAGCUGCACAUGUCACUAUAUAAAAGUGUGUACUAAAUGGAUAAAAUGUAAAUGUGAAUAUA
Long non-coding RNA from Anguilla rostrata (American eel), 461 nucleotides. RefSeq lists it as uncharacterized. The transcript is spliced from 2 exons. NCBI's taxonomy places the organism in Eukaryota, Metazoa, Chordata, Actinopteri, Anguilliformes, Anguillidae. The record is from RefSeq and is a predicted model, not a curated record.